AGAAGUUUCUGGUGAUGUAACACACAAUACAGACCAAGCCUUCACUUAUCAAGGUUAAAGUUGACGGAGCCUGUAUGAACUUGUCAAUCAUAGGAAGCAGGCAAAAACAAGCCAGCUGUUGUGAGGCAUGGCUUUGAAAAUCCUCUGCGUUACAGUAAAUGAGACGCAGAGGUUGCGAGGGAUUCAGUGCUGUGGGGCUUUCAAACGGGCUGGCACAUUUGCAGGGAUGCAAAGCUCACGUAUCCAGUGACUGUGGAUAAACAUCUGUAAAUCCUGGUAAGGCUGCCUUACGCUUCGUGCUGGCGCGUUAGAGAGGCGGCGAGAUGCACGAGCCUUAAUUAUCUCUCCCCCUCGGUUCUGGACGGAAGAUUGCAGUAUGUAUUCAUACAGUAUUUCUUUUGUUCUCCAGGGCUUUGAGUACACGCUGUCUGCUGUCCCUAUCAGCAGAAGCUACAGUAACAAAUUAGGAGCGGUGCAGCGCUGGGCACAGGCUUGUGUUUUGCUUGGUAGGAACGCCUGCUGUAUUCGCUGGUGUUUCAGGAGAACGGGGGGGAAAGCGUGCGCUGAUUCCAGCUAGGAUGCUCUGCGUGCAUGUGCUCGCGCACACGCGCUGCUUUUAGCAGCUUUUGUUUUCACAGUUGGCAUAAUGCACAGGGGAUGAGAGGGCAGCGCCGCUCAGAAGCCUUCGCUUUCUGCUCUGAGGGCUGCGGAGCUGCGUGCUGUGUGCUGCCUGGGGUGCCAGGCUCGGGGCUCCUCUCGGCGAGGGGUGGUGCGAGAGCUUUUCAUCGUGUCGUUUUCCUGGCAAGCGUGUGGCUGUGAGUGCCGGCUCGCACGAAGACCUUUCCUCAGCAGCAGGAGAUAGGGGCUGGGAGCGUAAGAGAAUCGGAUGUGACUACUGGAAGCAAGGGGUUCUUGCCACUGUGUCCUCCCGCGGCUUGAAGCUUGCUUUCUUUUCCUCCUUUCUGAACACUUCUUUUCUAAGCUCACAGUGUCUCUUCAGCCUCCUUUAAGCAGAGAGCAAACCUGUCUCCUUUCAGGGCUCCAGAG
Molecule: non-coding RNA, 1047 nt
Organism: Anas platyrhynchos (mallard)
Lineage: Eukaryota; Metazoa; Chordata; Aves; Anseriformes; Anatidae
Source: RefSeq, a predicted model, not a curated record